This is a long non-coding RNA of Gouania willdenowi (blunt-snouted clingfish), 3384 nucleotides long. NCBI's taxonomy places the organism in Eukaryota, Metazoa, Chordata, Actinopteri, Blenniiformes, Gobiesocidae. The record is from Ensembl.
AAACUAGUUCUGCUGACAGGCUUCACACACUCCUCUCAGAGGUUGGAUGAUAACAGCUCACACUGCAACGUGCACAAGUUCGCUUGGAUUAAAAACAAAAAACAAUCCUGAGAGGUGCUGACUGUGUCCACUCACACAUAUGGAAGCUGUGAUAGGACUUCUGCUUGUGUUGCUCCAAGUUUCAUUUGGUGUGGAAAAUCACUGUGAUGGCAGACAGAAUAACGCUCAGUGUUAUGCAGCUUUGGAUGGAUCUAUAUUCAUCAGGCUGAUGGACAGCGCUGUAGAAAAUCAUACAUACAUGUGGUCUAAAUAUAAAAGUAUAUUAUUGGUAGUGAAGAAUAAACAUGUUAUAAUGAAUACUUUAGAGAAGAGAGCAGAUUUUACUACACAAAAUGGUAUUUAUAGAAUAAAUCAACUAAAGUCGAGUGACAGUGGCCAGUAUCGACUUGAUGUUUUUGUAGAUGGGGGACAAAAAGAAGAACGGAAACUAAAUUUGUCUUUUCAAGGUCAGUUGUUUCUUUUUGGUUUGUCCAUAUAGAGUAAAGUGUACACUCAGAUUAUUUAUAAUCUGUAAACAAUCUCUUACACAGCUCCAGUAUCUUCUGUCCAGCUCGUCCCUACAUGUCUUUCUAUGGGGGAGAAGAAAGUUUCCUGCUCCUCUAAAGGGGACAGUCUUCUCUACAGCUGGACUCUGGAUGGACGCCCUCUGACAGACUCUGACCUCGUCCCAAAGGGCAGCAACACCAACAUUAUUCACCUGAAACUACAAACUGUAGGAAAACUGGUCUGUCAUGUCCAAAACAAAGUCAGCAAAAGCUCUGGUGAAGUGACGUUAACCACUUGUGGUGUGGAAAAUCACUGUGAUGGCAGACAGAAUAACGCUCAGUGUUAUGCAGCUUUGGAUGGAUCUAUAUUCAUCAGGCUGAUGGACAGCGCUGUAGAAAAUCAUACAUACAACUGGAAUAAAGAUAAAAGUAGAUUAUUGGUAGUGAAUAAUAAACGUGUUAUAACAAAUACUUUAGAGAAGAGAGCAGAUUUUACUACACAAAAUGGUAUUUAUAGAAUAAAUCAACUAAAGUCGAGUGACAGUGGCCAGUAUCGACUCGAAGUUUUUGUAGAUGGGGGAAAAAAAGAAGAAGAACGGAUACUAAAUUUGUCUGUUCAAGCUCCAGUAUCUUCUGUCCAGCUCGUCCCUACAUGUCUUUCUAUGGGGGAGAAGAAAGUUUCCUGCUCCUCUAAAGGGGACAGUCUUCUCUACAGCUGGACUCUGGAUGGACGUCCUCUGACAGACUCUGACCUCGUCCCAAAGGGCAGCAACACCAACAUUAUUCACCUGAAACUACAAACUGUAGGAAAACUGGUCUGUCAUGUCCAAAACAAUGUCAGCAAAAGCUCUGGUGAAGUGACGUUAACCACUUGUGGUUACAUCUUCAUAAACUGCACUUUGUCCAAUGGGACAGACAUAUUGCAGUGGGUGCUUGAGGCCACUAACACGUUGUGUGUUGACCCAACAACAGCCCCUAUGGGUGUGGAAAAUCACUGUGAUGGCAGACAGAAUAACGCUCAGUGUUAUGCAGCUUUGGAUGGAUCUAUAUUCAUCAGGCUGAUGGACAGCGCUGUAGAAAAUCAUAUAUACAUGUGGUUUAAAUAUACAAGUAAAUUAUUGGUAGUGAAUAAUAAACGUGUUAUAAUGAAUACUUUAGAGAAGAGAGCAGAUUUUACUACACAAAAUGGUAUUUAUAGAAUAAAUCAACUAAAGUCGAGUGACAGUGGCCAGUAUCGACUUGAAUAUUUUGUAGAUGGGGGAAAAAAAGAAGAACGGAAACUAAAUUUGUCUGUUCAAGCUCCAGUAUCUUCUGUCCAGCUCGUCCCUACAUGUCUUUCUAUGGGGGAGAAGAAAGUUUCCUGCUCCUCUAAAGGGGACAGUCUUCUCUACAGCUGGACUCUGGAUGGACGCCCUCUAACAGACUCUGACCUCGUCCCAAAGGGCAACAACACCAACAAUGUCCACCUGAAACUACAAACUAUAGGAAAACUGGUCUGUCAUGUCCAAAACAAAGUCAGCAAAAGCUCUGGUGAAGUGACGUUAACCACUUGUGGUUACAUCUUCAUAAACUGCACUUUGUCCAAUGGGACAGACAUAUUGCAGUGGGUGGUUGAGGACACUAACACGUUGUGUGUUGACCCAACAACAGCCCCUAUGGGUAAGGAGCCUCCCAUUGAUUCAGGGACUGUGGCUCUGAUUGGGAUUUCACUCUCUGCUCUGGUCUGUAUCCUCCUUUUGGCUUUAGUCGUGAUCUGUGUUCAGAAGAAAAAGCCAAACAAACCAAAAGAACCACAGGAUGACCAGGAAUUAACCUACGCGGCUGUCAAAGUGGUUCAGAGGCCAGGGACGCUAGAGGUGCACAGGUCAGAGGUGGAGGUGGAGUACGGCGAAGUCAAGUUUUCACAGCAACCUCGACAGAUUCAAGUACCGCCAGAUGACUGUGUGUAUGCCAGAGUCUAUAAAUGAAAACAGGGCGUGGCUCUUUUUAUCACAGACAGAGGGCACGACAUGAUCUCAGGUUGCUUGAAGGGCUUCCCUGUUUAAUGAUGAAAAAUCUGGGUGUCACCGUUGAGAGGACUCCAAACCCACAUCAAUAAUACUUUUUACCCCCUCUACCACUGCCAUUCUUGUACAUACUCUUGUCAAUCACUGAAACUCCUGAAACGCCAAUGUCCAGAAUUAGAGUUACCUGCUCCACUGAUGUUCUUUAAAAAUUUGCAUCAACUACAAAAUCCUCCUUCUGACAUUUAAGGUCAUCUUAAGGUCAUCUUCAAUGUCACCCCUCUAUAUCAGUCCAGACUGACCCACACCAUCAGCUCACUAAUGUUAUUCAAAAUGAAGCUAAAAACCCAUCUGUUCAGGAUGGCCUUUCUCUCUGGGAUCACAACUGCUGUAUCUAAUCUUGAUAUGUUGAAUGUAAUGUUCUUGCACUGCCUUUUCACAAUAAUUUUAUUGUAAACAUUCCAUGUAUAGUGACCCUAAGUGCUAGAAAGAAGCCUUUUAUGAAAAUAAUGACAAUAAUAAUGUAAUGAAAAGGAUGUGAAUAUUGUUUUUGUUUGUAUUCCUUAAUAAUUGUUUUUGGUUUAAUUUAAACCACACCCAUGGGAGGGGCUAACCUGUUAAAAGCAGUGUAGGAAACUGCAUAGAGGGCAGUCUUUCUCUGGAGGUGCAUGUGGGAGCAAUGUACCUGAGCAUUUCUGAAAGCCUCUCAGCUGAAAGUAGAGCUGGGACCAGGUUGUGUUUUUUUUUUUUUUCUCUUGAUGUAAAUAUUUGUGUUCCACUGUAAAUAUUGAGCACCGGCACCAUUUUUGGAAAAAUAAAUGAAAGUCGACUUGCCA